Molecule: microRNA, 22 nt
Filed under: Xenopus laevis (African clawed frog)
Lineage: Eukaryota; Metazoa; Chordata; Amphibia; Anura; Pipidae
Also listed under: 1 other name
Description: Xla-Mir-12482-P1_5p* (star (passenger))
Source: RNAcentral
GGAUUUCACAUUGCAGGAAGCA